UACGGAGGGGACGAGCGUUGUUCGGAAUUACUGGGCGUAAAGCGCACGCAGGCGGACUUGUAAGUCCGGGGUGAAAUCCCGAGGCUCAACCUCGGAACUGCCUUUGAUACUGCAAAUCUCGAGUCCGGAAGAGGUGAGUGGAAUUCCUAGUGUAGAGGUGAAAUUCGUAGAUAUUGGGAGGAACACCGGUGGCGAAGGCGGCUCACUGGACCGGUACUGACGCUGAGGCGCGAAAGCGUGGGGAGCAAACGGG
This 253-nucleotide ribosomal RNA is filed under the name uncultured bacterium. Its description in RNAcentral is "partial 16S ribosomal RNA". It matches the Rfam family "Bacterial small subunit ribosomal RNA", at positions 524 to 776 of the family's 1533-position model. The record is from RNAcentral.